This 198-nucleotide unclassified non-coding RNA is filed under the name Diversispora varaderana. Its description in RNAcentral is "partial internal transcribed spacer 2". Lineage: Eukaryota; Fungi; Glomeromycota; Glomeromycetes; Diversisporales; Diversisporaceae. The record is from RNAcentral.
AAAUAACAUUCGUGAAUUUUUUCGCGGAUUUGAGUUUUCCAGUAUUUUUAUUAUAAAAAAAUGUUGGUAACUUUAAAAUUAUUUAUUACUUGGUACAAGUUGAAAACGUACUAUAUGUGUGGUUCGCUGACAACUUGUCCAUCUUCAUAUAUUAUGCGCGCACUUGGUUUUUACGCUCUGUGCGAGUAUAUAUUUUUU